GAUGAACGCUGGCGGCGUGCCUAAUACAUGCAAGUCGAGCGAACGGACCAGAAGCUUGCUUUUCUGAUGUUAGCGGCUGACGGGUGUUUAACACGUGUAUAACCUACCUUUUUUACUUGUAUAACUUCGGGAAACCUUAGCUAAUACCGGAUAAUAUUUUGCACCGCAUUGUUCAAUAGUUAAAUACGUUCUUUCUGUCUCUUAUAGAUUGAUCCGCGCUGCAUUAGCUAGUUGGUAAGUUAACGGGUUACCAAGGCAACGAUGCAUAGCCGACCUGAGAGGGUGAUCGGAGAAACGGGAAGAGAGACACGGUAAAGACAAAUACGGGAGGCAGCAGUAGGGAAUAGGCCGCAAUGGGCGAAAGUAUGACGGAGCAAAGGCGAGGGAGUGAAGAAGAAGUAGGGAGCGUAAAAAGGUGAAAUAAGGGAAGAAAAUAAGUGGAAGUAAAGGUGGACAGAGUGACGGUACCAAAAAAGAAAGCCACGGCUAACUACGUG
Molecule: ribosomal RNA, 497 nt
Filed under: uncultured bacterium
Lineage: Bacteria
Description: partial 16S ribosomal RNA
Rfam family: Bacterial small subunit ribosomal RNA
Source: RNAcentral